AUUGAACGCUGGCGGCAGGCUUAACACAUGCAAGUCGAACGGUAACAGGGAGAAACUUGUUUCUCUGCUGACGAGUGGCGGACGGGUGAGUAAUGCUUGGGAAUCUGCCUUAUGGAGGGGGAUAACCACUGGAAACGGUGGCUAAUACCGCGUAAUAUCUUCGGAUUAAAGUGUGGGUCUUUCGAGCCACACGCCAUAAGAUGAGCCCAAGUGAGAUUAGGUUGUUGGUGAGGUAAUGGCUCACCAAGCUUACGAUCUCUAGCUGGUUUGAGAGGAUGACCAGCCACACUGGGACUGAGACACGGCCCAGACUCCUACGGGAGGCAGCAGUGGGGAAUAUUGCACAAUGGGCGCAAGCCUGAUGCAGCCAUGCCGCGUGAAUGAAGAAGGCCUUAGGGUUGUAAAGUUCUUUCAUUAGUGAGAAAGCGGUUAUAUCUAAUAGGUGUAACCAUUGAUGUUAGCUAAAGAAGAAGCACCGGCUAACUCCGUGCCAGCAGCCGCGGUAAUACGGAGGGUGCGAGCGUUAAUCGGAAUGACUGGGCGUAAAGGGCACGCAGGCGGUUAUUUAAGUCAGAUGUGAAAGCCCCGAGCUUAACUUGGGAAUUGCAUUUGAUACUGGGUAACUAGAGUCCUCUAGGGAGGGGUAGAAUUCCAUGUGUAGCGGUGAAAUGCGUAGAGAUGUGGAGGAAUACCGAAGCGAAGGCAGCCCCUUGGAGAGAGACUGACGCUCAUGUGCGAAAGCGUGGGUAGCAAACAGG
Molecule: ribosomal RNA, 758 nt
Filed under: uncultured bacterium
Lineage: Bacteria
Description: bacterial SSU rRNA
Rfam family: Bacterial small subunit ribosomal RNA
Source: RNAcentral